AUUUAUAUAGUAUAUACAAUUACAUUUAAUUUCCAAUUAAAAAAAUUAACGUUAUCUUAAUAUAAAUA
Molecule: transfer RNA, 68 nt
Filed under: Formica candida
Lineage: Eukaryota; Metazoa; Arthropoda; Insecta; Hymenoptera; Formicidae
Description: tRNA-Gly
Source: RNAcentral